CACGCCGUAAACGUUGGGCACUAGGUGUGGGGACUUUCCAACGGUCUCCGUGCCGAAGCUAACGCAUUAAGUGCCCCGCCUGGGGAGUACGGCCGCAAGGCUAAAACUCAAAGGAAUUGACGGGGGCCCGCACAAGCGGCGGAGCAUGUUGCUUAAUUCGAGGCAACGCGAAGAACCUUACCUGGGCUUGACAUGUAGGGAAAAGCCGUAGAGAUACGGUGUCCUUCGGGGCCCUACACAGGUGG
This 245-nucleotide ribosomal RNA is filed under the name uncultured Aciditerrimonas sp. RNAcentral describes it as "partial 16S ribosomal RNA". It matches the Rfam family "Bacterial small subunit ribosomal RNA", at positions 796 to 1041 of the family's 1533-position model. The record is from RNAcentral. Lineage: Bacteria; Bacillati; Actinomycetota; Acidimicrobiia; Acidimicrobiales; Acidimicrobiaceae.